RNAcentral lists this long non-coding RNA (18477 nucleotides) under Sorghum bicolor (sorghum). RNAcentral describes it as "long non-coding RNA (SBIC_LNC013482)". Lineage: Eukaryota; Viridiplantae; Streptophyta; Magnoliopsida; Poales; Poaceae. The record is from RNAcentral.
CAAAGCUUGUCAGGCAACCUCUCCACCGUUAGGCUUAACUGAAGUAACUGCAAGUGGUAAAGAGUACAUAAUGAUCUAGGCAAUUCAGAAAUUAACGUUCUGAUAAGGUUCAAAUACCGAAGGUGCUUCAGCCUACCAAUAGAUUCAGGCAACUUACUACUGUUGUAAAAUGACAAAUACAAUACACGUAACUUCUUCUGGUUCCGCAGCAUCUGAUCAAAAAUAUCGCUUGCAUCAUCCAUUAGUGGAUCAAUGCAGAUGAUAGUGCGUAAAUUCUGUAGCUUGUAGAUAAUUUGCUUAUGCUUUUGCAAACUCUCAACCUGAAGAGAGAGAUGUCGAACAGUGCAUGGUACUUCUCUGAUAUUAUCCUCUUCUAAUCUGAAGCAGUCUUCUACAGAGAGUGACUGUGCCAAAUCAUGAAGGAUGUCGUGCAUGAUAUAGUAUGAAUAAUACUCUGUUUCAGAAACCAAUUGAAAGAAAGACCCAGAGAGCAUCUCAUUGAAAUAAUCCCUCCCGACAUCUUCUAUUGUCAUGCUACUCAAAUUACAUGAACCAACAAGCCCUUCUGCCACCCAAAGGUGAACCAACUCAUCAGGUUUAUAUUUAUGACCUUUUGGGAAUAAGCUGCAAUACAAGAAGCACCUCUGCAGACGUGGAUCUAACUUCUUGUAACUCCACAAGAGAACUGUGAAGGGCUCACUUAAAUCUCUGAGCUUUAGAGCACCUUUCCAUUCAGCAGUAUCUUUUUUUGUGCUCAACCGGGAACCAAGAACUUUUGCUGCCAAAGGACAUUGUCCAAGCCUUUUAGCAAUCUCCACUGCAGUAUGUUCCAGCUUAUUGUGCAAAAGUUGAUCUCCAAUUUUUGCUCCAGAGAAAGCAUGGUGUUUGAAGAGUGCCAAGAAAUUGGCAUCAUCCAUUUUUUCCAAAUGAACAACUUGUUGUUGAUCACAGAAAACAGCGGCCGGAAGUGUUUCACGCCGAGAAGUCACCAAAACUUUGCUUCCCAUCUGUUUAGAGACAAAUGGAUCCAGGAGCUGAAACCACUCUGUCUCGCUGUCUGAUUUUUCGAACCAAACAUCAUCCAAGACAAGUAGGAAUUUCUGUGACUUCUGCAGUAUGUCACGUAAUUUGCACUGGAGAGUAUCAAGAUUAUCAAUACAUGGGCACUCCCCAUUUGUUGCAGACUCAAUAAUCUCCCUUGUGUGACGACGGACAUCAAGCUUGCGUGAGAUGCAGACCCACAUCCUGAUAUCAAAGCCUUCUUCUAUCCUCUUGUCAUUGUAGACAUACUGCACUAAGGUGGACUUCCCCAUUCCGCCCGCACCAAUAAUGGCCAAACUGGAGUACCUAGUCGAACUUGCCUCGUCAGCUGCUGUCUUGCCAAGAAGAAAAUCUAAUAUACGAUCGCGAUCCUUGUCACGACCGAAAACCUUUGAUGUGGAAAGUGAUGUCACUGUGGUUGGAGGAACAAUGGUUGCUGGUACAGCUGGCCACCCUAAACCUGUAGUAUUUCCAGGUGCUAUGCUAAGAAGAUCCCGAAGCUCCUUGGCUUCUGUUAGGAUAGCUUUGAUCUCAUUCAUCUUGCUAAUUAGCCUUCUAUUCUCAGGGAGCAAGUUGCGUGCCUUGCUCUUAGCAGUAUGAAAAGGCUUCAUGAUUGUUGAUGCAAUGGAGGAGGUUUCAUCCUCUCCUAGCAGGGGAUCUUUUCCGCUCUUGGCCUUGCGCUUGAGGAGAUUGUACUCAUGCUCGUCCAGCAGGUCCUCAGCAUCAUAAAAGGCUUCUUUGAGCCGCCGAAGCCAUGCCUCGAGCUUGCCCUUAUGGGGGCUCUUCUCUGCUGCUUGAAUCACCAGAUCAAAUUGUGGCAGGACGGUGGCUUCUAGUUUUUGGAGCUCACGCACCAUGUCCACACUGAGGUAAGCUGAAGCUUCGUUAAGAAGCUUGUUGAAAAUGGGCGAUGCUGCCCACCUUAACCCAGCGAGUGCCAAGUCUGCCAUGGAAUUGGAGUGGUUUGUGCUUCUCCUUUGUGGGUGUGGACUGGAGAGAUCUUGGAUGAAUAUUUCCAGGUGAAAAGAAGAGGACAAUUGAUUGGCAAUGGCACGAAAUGAUUGUGUUUUUCUUGGAAAUGUAAAUGAUGGGAAACAAGCAAAGAGUACAAUUAAUAUCUUUUUUCCUUCCUUUUUUGGGGUUUUCUAUUUUUUCUUUCUUUUUUUUUGUCGUAGGAGUGAAAUGAAUAAGUUGAAGAUGCAGGGUGCAAGGGUCUGGUGGCGAAGAGAAAGAUUAAACAGGAAAAGAAAGAUGAAUGGAUGGACAAUGGAAGCUGUUUUCUUUUUUAUGUAUGGACGAGGUGCUUCUGCAGAAGGCAAGUUACUGAUAAGGACAACAACGGAAUGAAGAAAACCUGGAAUUAAGAAGACGCAUAGAAUUAGUGAUUCUGAUUGGGAAAAUGGAAGACAAAUUGAUUAUUUUUCUUUCUCAUGUGCUACAGCACACAGAAUGAAAUAGCUACUAACAAGUUAGCACAACAAACUAAGGAGAUUGGUGAUCUUACAUGGUUUUGCGGGAUGAAGUUACACCAAGUAAAAAAAAUCAAGGGCGCUGGGAGCAGAGUUGCUGGAGCCAGUGUUGACAAGGAGCACGAGGUGGCCGGAGUGGUGGACGGGACUCUGGAACAAGCACUGCACUUCAAGAGAACAAACAGGCAGUCAGCCAAGAAUAAGGUAUAUACGCUGGCAGCGAAGGAGGGAAAGGAAGAAGCAAGGAACAAUACCGGAAAAGCUUGGCAGUGCUGAUUCCUGGUGAUGAUCUUUUUAUUAAGAGAUUGCUGGUGAUGAUCUGUUCUGCAGUUUCACGGUGAGGACACCGAUGGUGCUGCUGGCCUUCUGCUGCUUGCUGGGAAAAGGAAGAAGAAAGGAAAUUGGAAGGUGGAGAAAGAGGAGUAGACAAGGUCUAUCGAUUGGGACUUCUCUGAAAUAGGAGUUUGUUGGGACCUGCAUUUGGUGUGAAGUACUAGUCAGCAUAAACACAGACAAAGGAAGCUUCUGGGUAGCUUCACUAGGUUUCUAUCCUUGAGAAAGGAACGGUUCAACCAUAUCCCCCCUUGCAAUAAAUGAAUGAAGGCGAACACAGAGUAGACAAGGUCUAUGAAUUCAUCAAAAACGUUAUCAGCAGUUUUGCAACUCAAACACUGCCUAAACAACUCGUAGGAAAACACAGCCCAAAUGAAAAGCAAGGCGCACAUACGGCCACCUCACCUGUAUCCAGGAAACGGUGGAAUGUGGUCACCUCUCACAUGGAAAAUCACAUAAGAUGAUUUUUUUUAUUCCAUAACCCAUAUAAGAACUGAUCAAAACACAAAAGGAUAGACAAAUUUUGACUGACCACUGACCAGUCUCUUGCACUAGUACUGCUGCUUCUUUGUGAAAGGAAUCAGCCUUGACGCCUAUGCUACUGCUCGUCGGUGCUGCUGUACUAGGGCUGUGGUGCCUGUGUCGCCUCUCCUCCCCUUCCUGAAUCCUCUGCCGUGGUCGGUUCCUGCCUUGAGCACGGCCGGCACGCCCCGCAGCUUCCGCAGUAAAAGUAAUCUCCGAGGUGGCGAGACCUAACUCCGGCAACACCGGCGACAUGGAGGGUUCAGCGUUCGGCCGUCUUGUGCGGUGCCGGCGCUGGAACACGACACAGGAGAAUGGCCGAACGGCGGACGGGGAAAUGCUGAACAGAACAGGAACGGAUAUUGCGGUAUUGGACUGGGUAAGUAACUCAUCUAUUUGGGCCGCCCCACAUCGUCUUCAUCGCUCGUUUGAAGUUAGAGCAGCAGGAACAACGGCUGCACAGUCCCCUUCUUCUGCUUGAAUAAGGCUAUUCCAACAGGAGACCCAAAUGUAAAAUCUCUACUAUAAUGGAUCAAUUAGAAUUAUAUUAGAUCCCCAAGUAAAACCUUUUCCACUGAGAGCCUUCAACCAUUGUGCACCUAGUAAAAUUAAAAUGUACACAGUAAAUUGUCUCUGUUAAAAUCAAGGGCUACAAAAUAAUUGCUCAUAGACCUCAACUCAAUCUGAUGGCCAUGAUCACUUCCAGGCUUCAACGCGACUCCCAGGCUUCAACACGCUCGCGUCCCUCGACGCACGGCCUCCACCUCCCCAAGCGUGACAGGCAGGAUUCGAUCCCUGCUACCGUUCCCGGCGGCGAGGUGGCACGGGAUCGACGGAGGAACUAGGGGCUGCGGCUGAGGGCUUGGCUCCUGCAGAGCUUCGGUGGCUGUGAAGGUCGACGACAGACCCCGGCUAGGGGCGGUAGCGGCAGCGGAGGCGCGGUCACAGCGACCCGGCCGGCGGCGGAGGAAGGCGAGACGGACACAUUGGUGGGAUUGGUUGGGUGCAGUUGCGAGGUCUCGGAGGAGCUGCUGCUCACGCUGGUGGAAAGCUAGGUAGUCUUGAGAUAGCACACUACGCGCACGGGGUGUUCGUGCAAAUGCUUGGCACGGCCUUGUCAAAUCCUUUGCUCCCCUCCGACGUUGCUGCCAUGGACUCCACGUUGGCACCUGAAAUGGCCCCGAUGCCUCCUAUUCCGCCGCCGCCGUUGUCCCGACCGCCGAGGAUCUCGUGGGGGCGUGGCAGUGAUGACCUUGGAUGAGCAGUUCCAAUCUGUUGCGGGGAUUAGGGAGAGAAGUGCAUCCAGGAGGACGAGUUCAGGCGCCUGCUUGAUAACAAGCCUGUCCCCAUCUACUACAAUGGCUUCGAGCCUUUAGAGGCAUGCACAUCGCACAGGUUUGACCUUCUGUCUUCAGCCCCUGCCUCCAGGGCAUCAUUACUACAAAAAAUGAUAAGUUUGCAUGACUGAGCUAAAGAUAGAUUUGGCUGCAUCGCCGUUCUAAUUUUUUAAUAGCAUGUAGAAAGAGACCAUCGUUUAUAAUGGCACACAAGGAAAAAGCUCAAAUAAAUUGUGUGGAGGUUCAAUGAAGCUACAAAAAAUAUAAAAGAACAUAGAGACCACAUGACAGAUCAUUUACAAAGGGAUAUCAAAUACCAGCAACAAGAACAAGAGAACGGAAGCACAUUUUUGAAUUUAGAAACACGUGAUAGCAACUGUUUAUUUUUUCUUUUUAAUUAAAAAAGAUAAAGGAAAGAAAUAUUCCAGACUCCAGUUCGCCUCACGAAAAAUAAAAACCAUAGCCACAUUUUGUAUCAUCAUAAGUUAUUUAUUAGAGACUCAUUCUAUCAUAGGAAUACAUGUAAGCAAUUAUUUAUGGGCGUUGCUAAGGUAUAACUCUUACCUAGUAAGAGGUAAGAGUUCAAAUAAAUCCGAGACGUUGAAUAUUAGAAGAAAUAAAGUAAGUAGUAAAAAGAAAAAUAAAUAACAUAUUGUUUCCGUUUAUUUACAUGUCUACAUGCAAUUUGUUUCCUUUUGAUUGCAACCAACGACUACAACUUCAUGGAAGACCAUCGGGCAAGAUGGUUUUUAGUCAAAAUUCAACUUUCCAAGACAUGCUAUUUUACGUUUCUUAUUAAUUGGGCAUGGUCACGUUACAACUUAAAAAAAUAUUACAUUACAAUCAUGUACACUAUGGAUUGAAUAAGCUUUACCUUUUUAUAAUGUCGAAAACAAAAUGAAUUUAAAUUUCUCAUCGUCACGUUCCAACAAAUUAAUUAAAUAAAUUUUACAAAAUCAUUUUGGGUUAGCUAUUAUAAAUCAUUGUGUUAUUAUAUACACAAUAAAAUAAAAUGGUUGCGCAUGUGUGAACUAUGUCCCCCCAUCGUGUGUCCAUGUCCAUGUUAUUAAAAACCUAAGAUCAUGUUAGGAAAGUAAGAUCAUGCAUGCAUAUUAUAUACAUAAUACGAAGGUAUUUUCCUUCUGAGGUAAUAUUUGACAAUUGCUAUUCAGAUCGACGGUUCAUAGUUUUUUAGAUGUACCAUAGCAAGGCCCAUUAUUCAUAAUCAAGGAAUAACAGUACAAGUGAAAUGAUAUAAAUGGAACCACCUGCGUUCCUCGCAAGUACCAACCGUGGACUGUGGAGGGUCGCCAAACAGAGAACCAAGGGGACGGCAUCACCAACAGAUCGGCUUCUGAUCGACUUCAGCUGGGUGGUGAGUCUGCAGAGACGAGGGCGCAGCGGCGUUGGGGUCACCACGAGGUGUCUGUUUAGAGCAUGGAAUGAAAUGUUUUAAAUAAAAUAUUGGAGACCUUAUUCAUUGUGCUGGAGAAUGAAUCAGUGGAACAUGCUAUACCUUCUCUCAUUUCUUUCAAGUGGCAAUAUUAAUCGAAGUGCUUCCAGCGGAUGUGUGAAAUCUGUGGCCAGCUUUCUCCAUCAGGCUCUCGGCAGUUCUUCCUCAAGUCGUCACAACCAUAUAGACUUAUGCGCUGGAGGGAGGAUGGAAGAACUGGUAAAGAUGUUAUGUUGGGGCAAUGGCGGAUAUCAAGACUCUCCAGACUUGAGAGAAAUUUUAGAUUUCCUGGCAGGAACUCCAUUUUGCAUUGCCAAAAGUACAGGUGCUUGACAGAUAAGAGAUUUGCACAUUCUCCAAAGGAAGCUGACGCCUCGUUGCAAUAACGAAGAAUAAGGUUCGGUGGGACUAUAAACCCUUCAGCCUUGAGCAUCAAGUUGAGCAGUACGAAACUACUAACGACGAGCAAUUGCUGGACACGAAACUGUGAGAUGCACUUGGUAGUAAGGUUUGGAACAUCUAUCAAACUUAGGUAUUGAAGUUGCCAGGAAGACAAGCCUUCAAGAGAGCACAGAUCGGGGAGAUGAAUUAGAUCUAAUGAUUCAAGGGAGGUCAGGUGGCCAAUCGAUAAGGACGGGGAGGUUCUGCAACACAUAAUGAUAAGAGAUUUCAGGUGUGCCAAGCCAUUAAUGAAUGAAUCAGCUGCAAGAAUGCAGCCACAUAUGUGGAGCUCUCCAGCAAGGUUGAAUGACAUAAAUUCUGCUCCACGUGCCAGAUCUAAAGAAGGGCAAUCAAUACAAUAAAAUCUGGAAAGAUAUGGAGCAGCACUUAAGCCCCCCAGUGAUCUGAGACACCAACAACCUCUUAUAGUCAACCAGUCAAGCUUGAUCAAAUGCUCAAACACCUCUUCUGAUGGAAGUGCAGAUAAUGCCAUAUUAUAUUCCAGUCUUAACCUUGUAAAUGAAGUGAGGCCACCAAGGCAAAUAGCUAAAGCUUCAUCUGCAUGAAGAAAGAACAAGACCAACAAGUCCAAAUGGUACAACCAGUGGCAGCUCCAUGGUCCUUCCAUAAAGGACUCUUAUCCUCUGCUCAUGGCAAAAAAGCCAUGCCUUGAUCAUAUUUUCUUUGUCUGAUAUUAUAUCUCCUCCUUCCUCUAGGCCACUUUCAAUAAUUUGAAGAUGUUGUGAUAUAUCAUCACCCAUCUGCGUUGUCAACUGCUUCAGGGAUGAAUAGUCCUCUACAAGUACUUCCGUAAUAUUAAAUCCUGAAUUGACCUCCCACAUUGAUGCAAGUUUAGAUGCCAGGUCCUCUGUCUUCAUUAUAUUUCCCCUCGAACCAUGCUGGUCGAGCUCAUUUUUGGAGACAAACAUAAGCAGUGGGCACGUCUGAAUUGACAAUUUUGUAAGCAUUGCUGGAAGACAAGGUAAUAUUUUCAAUUUUGGAACAUUUUCUAGCGGAUGUGUGAAAUCUGCAACGGAUUGGCAAUUUUCAAUUUUGACAAUUUUGGAAUAUUUUCCACCUGCCUCGCAAGUCCCAACUGUGGACUGUGCACAGUCACCAAACAGAGAACCGAGGGGACAGCAUCUGCAACGGAUUGGCUUCUGACUUGAACUGGGUGGCGAGUCAGUGUCGUGUUGUGCUUGUGCCAGGGUGACCUUGAGGUCGAGGUGCCUGUUUACAACAUGAAAUGUUUUUAAAAUAUAAAAUAUUGGAAACCUUAUUCAUUGUGCUGGAUAAUGAAUCAGCAGAACCUAUACCUCCUCAUUUCGUUGAAGAUCAUUCAUAGAAGUGCUUCCAGCGGAUGUGUGAAAUCUGUGGCCAGCUUUCUCCAUCAGGCUCUCGGCAGUUCUUCUUCAAGUCGUCACAACCAUAUAUAGUUAUGCGCUGGAGGGAGGAUGGCAGAACUGGUAAAGAUGUUAUGUUGGGGCAAAUGCCGAUAUCAAGACUCUCCAGACUGGAGAGAAAUUUUAGAUUUCCUGGCAGGGACUCCAUUUUGCAAUCCCAAAUGUCCAGGUGCUUGACAGAUAAGAGAUUUGCACAUUCUCCAAAUGAAGCUGACGGCUCCUUGCAAACAUGAAGACCAAGAUUUGGUGGGACUAUAAACCCUUCAGCCUUGAGCAUCUGGUUGAGCAGUACGAAACUACUAACGCUGAGCCAUUUCUGGACACGAAACUGUGAGAUGCACUUGGCAGUGAGGUUUGGAACAUCUAUCAAACUUAGGCUAUCAAGUUGCCAGGAAGACAAGCCUUCAAGAGAGCACAGAUCGGGGAGACGAAGUAGAGAUAAUGAUUCAAGGGAGGUCAGGUGGCCAAUCGAUAAGGACGGGAAGCUUCUGCAACAUGCAAUGGAAAGAGAUUUCAGGUGUGGCAAGCCAUUAAUGAACGAAUCGGCUGCCAGAAUGCAGCCACAUAUGUAGAGGUCUCCAGCAAGGUUGAAUGACAUAGAUUCUGCUGCACCUGCCAGAUCUAAAGAAGGGCAAUCAAUACAAUAAAGUCUGGAAAGAGAUGGAGCAGCAUGUGAGCCCCCCAGUGAUCUGAGACACCAACAACCUCUUACAGCCAACAAGUCAAGCUUUGUCAAAUGCUCAAACACCUCUUCUGAAGGAAGUGCAGUUAAUGCCAUAUUAUAUUCCAGCAUUAACGUUGUCAAUGAAGUGAGGCCACCAAGGCAAAUAGCUAAAGCUUCAUCUGUAAUACUGCAUGAAGAAAGAUAAAGUUCACGUAUUCCUGAUGGUAGAACCAGUGGCAGCUCCAUGGUCCUUCCAUAAAUGACUGUUAUCCUCUGCUCAUGGCAAAAAAGCCAUGCCUUGAUCAUAUUUUCUUUCUCCAAUAUUAUAUCUCCUCCUUCCUCUAGGCCACUUUCAAUAAUUUGAAGAUGUUGUGAUAUAUCAUCACCCAUCUGCGUUGUCAACUGCUUCAGGGAUGAAUAGUCCUCUGCAAGUACUUCCCUAAUAUUUGAUCCUGAAUUGACCUCCCACAUUGAUGCAAGUUUAGAUGCCAGGUCCUCUGUCUUCAUUAUAUUUUCCCUCAAAUCAUGCUGGUCGAGCUCAUUUUUGGAGACAAACAUAAGCAGUGGGCACGUCUCAAUUGACAAUUUUGUAAGCAUUGCUGGAAGACAAGAUAAAAUCUUCAAUUUUGGAACAUUUUUUAGACACAGCCUAGUGCAAUGCCGUAGGAGCUCAGUAUUAGGUGGUAGGCCUUCUAACAAAGUGCAGCAAUUAAGCUUUAAACAUUCCAAAUUUUCAAAAUAGGAUGGCUCAAGUAACCACCUUGGAUAUGUGCCAGAUUUGUAGCCUUUGAUUGUGAGGCCACUAAGUUGGGGUGACGGUCUCAGACCUUCUAGAACAUCCAGAUGUAAAGUAUCCACUGCAUCCAUUCCCUUCUCGCUACUCCAGGCAAGCCGCAACUUUUUAAGGCGAUUCUUCUUAUAGAGCAUGGACUCUAAGGCUUCUUCUUUUUCUGAAACAUUCUCAAGAUUUUCUACUUUUAAACUGCCACCAAGCUCAUUCAAGUCCUUCAGCUGCCACAACUCGUAUCCUUGCUUCUUUUGCACAGAAAAGGUAUGCAUGUGUUGUAGCGAAAUUAGCUUGCCUAUAUUGGGAAUUUGAUGAAUAGAUUUUUCCAUCAAGGCAUGUGGGUACUCCUUGUACGCCCCCAUAUGUCGCAACUUACUUAAGUUGCAAAGCUUGUCAGGCAACCUCUCCACCGUUAGGCUUAACUGAAGUAACUGCAAGUGGUAAAGAGUACAUAAUGAUCUAGGCAAUUCAGAAAUUAACGUUCUGAUAAGGUUCAAAUACCGAAGGUGCUUCAGCCUACCAAUAGAUUCAGGCAACUUACUACUGUUGUAAAAUGACAAAUACAAUACACGUAACUUCUUCUGGUUCCGCAGCAUCUGAUCAAAAAUAUCGCUUGCAUCAUCCAUUAGUGGAUCAAUGCAGAUGAUAGUGCGUAAAUUCUGUAGCUUGUAGAUAAUUUGCUUAUGCUUUUGCAAACUCUCAACCUGAAGAGAGAGAUGUCGAACAGUGCAUGGUACUUCUCUGAUAUUAUCCUCUUCUAAUCUGAAGCAGUCUUCUACAGAGAGUGACUGUGCCAAAUCAUGAAGGAUGUCGUGCAUGAUAUAGUAUGAAUAAUACUCUGUUUCAGAAACCAAUUGAAAGAAAGACCCAGAGAGCAUCUCAUUGAAAUAAUCCCUCCCGACAUCUUCUAUUGUCAUGCUACUCAAAUUACAUGAACCAACAAGCCCUUCUGCCACCCAAAGGUGAACCAACUCAUCAGGUUUAUAUUUAUGACCUUUUGGGAAUAAGCUGCAAUACAAGAAGCACCUCUGCAGACGUGGAUCUAACUUCUUGUAACUCCACAAGAGAACUGUGAAGGGCUCACUUAAAUCUCUGAGCUUUAGAGCACCUUUCCAUUCAGCAGUAUCUUUUUUUGUGCUCAACCGGGAACCAAGAACUUUUGCUGCCAAAGGACAUUGUCCAAGCCUUUUAGCAAUCUCCACUGCAGUAUGUUCCAGCUUAUUGUGCAAAAGUUGAUCUCCAAUUUUUGCUCCAGAGAAAGCAUGGUGUUUGAAGAGUGCCAAGAAAUUGGCAUCAUCCAUUUUUUCCAAAUGAACAACUUGUUGUUGAUCACAGAAAACAGCGGCCGGAAGUGUUUCACGCCGAGAAGUCACCAAAACUUUGCUUCCCAUCUGUUUAGAGACAAAUGGAUCCAGGAGCUGAAACCACUCUGUCUCGCUGUCUGAUUUUUCGAACCAAACAUCAUCCAAGACAAGUAGGAAUUUCUGUGACUUCUGCAGUAUGUCACGUAAUUUGCACUGGAGAGUAUCAAGAUUAUCAAUACAUGGGCACUCCCCAUUUGUUGCAGACUCAAUAAUCUCCCUUGUGUGACGACGGACAUCAAGCUUGCGUGAGAUGCAGACCCACAUCCUGAUAUCAAAGCCUUCUUCUAUCCUCUUGUCAUUGUAGACAUACUGCACUAAGGUGGACUUCCCCAUUCCGCCCGCACCAAUAAUGGCCAAACUGGAGUACCUAGUCGAACUUGCCUCGUCAGCUGCUGUCUUGCCAAGAAGAAAAUCUAAUAUACGAUCGCGAUCCUUGUCACGACCGAAAACCUUUGAUGUGGAAAGUGAUGUCACUGUGGUUGGAGGAACAAUGGUUGCUGGUACAGCUGGCCACCCUAAACCUGUAGUAUUUCCAGGUGCUAUGCUAAGAAGAUCCCGAAGCUCCUUGGCUUCUGUUAGGAUAGCUUUGAUCUCAUUCAUCUUGCUAAUUAGCCUUCUAUUCUCAGGGAGCAAGUUGCGUGCCUUGCUCUUAGCAGUAUGAAAAGGCUUCAUGAUUGUUGAUGCAAUGGAGGAGGUUUCAUCCUCUCCUAGCAGGGGAUCUUUUCCGCUCUUGGCCUUGCGCUUGAGGAGAUUGUACUCAUGCUCGUCCAGCAGGUCCUCAGCAUCAUAAAAGGCUUCUUUGAGCCGCCGAAGCCAUGCCUCGAGCUUGCCCUUAUGGGGGCUCUUCUCUGCUGCUUGAAUCACCAGAUCAAAUUGUGGCAGGACGGUGGCUUCUAGUUUUUGGAGCUCACGCACCAUGUCCACACUGAGGUAAGCUGAAGCUUCGUUAAGAAGCUUGUUGAAAAUGGGCGAUGCUGCCCACCUUAACCCAGCGAGUGCCAAGUCUGCCAUGGAAUUGGAGUGGUUUGUGCUUCUCCUUUGUGGGUGUGGACUGGAGAGAUCUUGGAUGAAUAUUUCCAGGUGAAAAGAAGAGGACAAUUGAUUGGCAAUGGCACGAAAUGAUUGUGUUUUUCUUGGAAAUGUAAAUGAUGGGAAACAAGCAAAGAGUACAAUUAAUAUCUUUUUUCCUUCCUUUUUUGGGGUUUUCUAUUUUUUCUUUCUUUUUUUUUGUCGUAGGAGUGAAAUGAAUAAGUUGAAGAUGCAGGGUGCAAGGGUCUGGUGGCGAAGAGAAAGAUUAAACAGGAAAAGAAAGAUGAAUGGAUGGACAAUGGAAGCUGUUUUCUUUUUUAUGUAUGGACGAGGUGCUUCUGCAGAAGGCAAGUUACUGAUAAGGACAACAACGGAAUGAAGAAAACCUGGAAUUAAGAAGACGCAUAGAAUUAGUGAUUCUGAUUGGGAAAAUGGAAGACAAAUUGAUUAUUUUUCUUUCUCAUGUGCUACAGCACACAGAAUGAAAUAGCUACUAACAAGUUAGCACAACAAACUAAGGAGAUUGGUGAUCUUACAUGGUUUUGCGGGAUGAAGUUACACCAAGUAAAAAAAAUCAAGGGCGCUGGGAGCAGAGUUGCUGGAGCCAGUGUUGACAAGGAGCACGAGGUGGCCGGAGUGGUGGACGGGACUCUGGAACAAGCACUGCACUUCAAGAGAACAAACAGGCAGUCAGCCAAGAAUAAGGUAUAUACGCUGGCAGCGAAGGAGGGAAAGGAAGAAGCAAGGAACAAUACCGGAAAAGCUUGGCAGUGCUGAUUCCUGGUGAUGAUCUUUUUAUUAAGAGAUUGCUGGUGAUGAUCUGUUCUGCAGUUUCACGGUGAGGACACCGAUGGUGCUGCUGGCCUUCUGCUGCUUGCUGGGAAAAGGAAGAAGAAAGGAAAUUGGAAGGUGGAGAAAGAGGAGUAGACAAGGUCUAUCGAUUGGGACUUCUCUGAAAUAGGAGUUUGUUGGGACCUGCAUUUGGUGUGAAGUACUAGUCAGCAUAAACACAGACAAAGGAAGCUUCUGGGUAGCUUCACUAGGUUUCUAUCCUUGAGAAAGGAACGGUUCAACCAUAUCCCCCCUUGCAAUAAAUGAAUGAAGGCGAACACAGAGUAGACAAGGUCUAUGAAUUCAUCAAAAACGUCAUCAGCAGUUUUGCAACUCAAACACUACCUAAACAACUCGUUGGAAAACAUAGCCCAAACGAAAAGCAAGGCGCACAUACGGCCACCUCACCUGUAUCCAGGAAAGGGUGGAAUGUGGUCACCUCUCACAUGGAAAAUCACAUAAGAUGAUUUUUUUUUUUAUUCCAUAACCCAUAUAAGAACUGAUCAAAACACAAAAGGAUAGAAAAAUUUUGACUGACCACUGACAGUGUCUUGCACUAGUACUGCUGCUUCUUUGUGAAAGGAAUCAGCCUUGACGCCUAUGCUACUGCUCGUCGGUGCUGCUGUACUAGGGGCUGUGGUGCCUGUGUCGCCUCUCCUCCCCUUCCUCUGCCGUGUGGUCGGUUCCUCCCUUGAGCACGGCCGGCGCGCGCCGCAGCUGCCGCAGUAAAAGUAAUCUCCGAGGCGGCGAGACCUGACUCCGGCAACCCCGGCAACAUGGAGGGUUCAGCGUUCAGCCGUCUUGUGCGGCGCCGGUGCUGGAACACAACACAAGAGAAUGGCCGAACGGGGGACGGGGAAAUGCUGAACAGAACAGGAACGGAUAUUGCGGUUUUGGACUCGGUAACUAACUGUCUUCAUCGCUCGUUUGAAGCAGAGCAGCAGGAACAAUGGCUGCGCAGUCCCCUUCUUCUGCUUGAAUAAGGCUAUUCCAACAGGAGACCCAAAUGUAAAAUCUCUACUAUAAUGGAUCAAUUAGAAUUAUAUUAGAUCCCCAAGUAAAACCUUUUCCACUGAGAGCCUUCAACCAUUGUGCACCUAGUAAAAUUAAAAUGUACACAGUAAAUUAUCUCUGUUAAAAUCAAGGGCUACAAAAUAAUUGCUCAUAGACCUCAACUCAAUCUGAUGGCCAUGAUCACUUCCAGGCUUCAACGCGACUCCCAGGCUUCAACACGCUCGCGUCCCUCGACGCAUGGCCUCCACCUCCCCAAGCGCGACUCUCAGGCUUCAACACGCUCGCGUCCCUCGACGCAUGGCCUCCACCUCCCAAAGCGUGACAGGCAGGAUUCGAUCCCUGCUACCACGAAAAAAAGAAAAACUAAAAAAUAGCGUAGCAGCAUGCACGGGAGGAGGCGCACCCGCCGUUCCCGGCGGCGAGGUGGCACGGGAUCGACGGAGAAACUAGGGGCUGCGGCUGAGGGCUUGGCUCCUGCAGAGCUUCGGUGGCUGCGCAGGUCGACGACAGACCCCGGCCAGGGGCGGUAGCGGCGGCAGCGGCGGAGGCGCGGUCACGGCGACCCAGCCAGCGGCGGAGGAAGGCGAGGCAGACACAUUGGUGGGAUUGGUUGGGUGCGGUCGCGAGGUCUCGGAGGAGCUGCUGCGCAUGCUGGUGGAAAGCUAGGUAGUCUUGAGAUAGCGCACUACGCGCACGAGGUGUUCGUGCAAAUGCUUGGCACGGCCUUGUCAAAUCCUUUGCUCCCCUCCGACGUUGCUGCCAUGGACUCCACGCUAGCACCUGAAAUGGCCCCCGAUGCCUCCUAUUCCGCCGCCACCGCUGUCCCGACCGCCGAGGAUCUCGUGGGGGCGUGGCAGUGAUGACCUUGGAUGAGCAGUUCGAUCUGCUGCAGGGAUUAGGGAGAGAAGUGCAUCCAGGAGGACGAGUUCAGGCGCCUGCUUGAUAACAAGCCUGUCCCCAUCUACUACGAUGGCUUCGAGCCUUUAGAGGCAUGCACAUCGCACAGGUUUGACCUUCUGUCUUCAGCCCCUGCCUCCAGGGCAUCAUUAGUAGAAAAAAUGAUAAGUUUGCAUGAUUCAGCUAAAGAUAGAUUUGGCUGCAUCGCCAUUCUAAUUUUGUAAUAGCAUGUAGAAAGAGACCAUCAUUUAUAAUGGCACAUAAGGAAAAGACUUAAAUAAAUUGUGUGAAGGUUUUAAUAGCAUGUAGAAAGGGACCAUCAUUUAUAAUGGCACACAAGGAAAAAGCUCAAAUCAAUUGUGUGGAGGUUCAAUGAAGCUACAAAAAUAUAAAAGAACAUAGAGACCACAUGACAAGCAUUUACAGAGGGAUAUCAAAUACCAGCAACAAGAACAAGAGAACGGAAGCACAUUUUUUAAUUUAGAAACACGUGACAGCAAUUGUUUAUUUUUUUCUUUUUAAUUAAAAAAGAUAAAGGAACGAAAUAUUCCAGACUCCAGUUCGCUUCACGAAAAAUGAAAACCAUAGCCACAGUUUAUAUCAUCAUAGGUUAUUUAUUAGAGACUCAUUCUAUUAGAGGAAAUAGGAAUACAUGUAAGCAAUUAAUUAUGGGCGUUGCUAAGGUAUAACUCUUACCUAGUAAGAGGUAAGAGUUCAAAUAAAUCCGAGCCAUUGAAUAUUAGAAGAAAUAAAGUAAGUAGUAAAAAGGAAAAUAAAUAACAUAUUGUUUCCGUUUAUUUACAUGUGUACAUGCAAUUUGUUUCCUUUUAGUUGCAACCAACGACUACAACUUCAUGGAAGACCAUCGGGCAAGAGAUGGUUUAGAGUCAAAAUUCAACUUUCCAAGACAUGCUAUUUACGUUUCUUAUUAAUUGCGCAUGGUCACAUUACAACUAAAAAAAUGUUACAUCACAAUCACCUACACUAUGGAUUGAAUAAGCUUUACUUUUUUAUAAUGUCGAAAACGAAAUGAAUUUAAAUUUCUCGUUCAUUCGUCACGUUCCAACAAAUUAAUUAAAUAAAUUUUACAAAAUCAUUUUGGGUUACAUAUUAUAAAUCAUUGUGUUAUUAUAUAUACAAUAAAAUAAAAUGGUUGCACACGUGUGAACUAUGUCACCCCAUAGUGUGUCCAUGUCCAUGUUAUUAAAAACUUAAGAUCAUGUUAGGAAAGUUAGAUCAUGCAUGCAUAUUAUAUACAUAAUACGAAGGUAUUUUCCUUAUAUAUCUUAUUACCUCUUGCAAGGUAAUAUUUGACAAUUGCUACUCAGAUCGACGAUUCACAGUUAUUUAGGUGUACCAUAGCAAGACCCAUUAUUCAUAAUCAAGGAAUAACAGUACAAGUGAAAUGAUAUAAAUGGAACCACCUUCGUUCCUCGCAAGUACCAACCGUGGACUGUGGAGGGUCGCCAAACAGAGAACCAAGGGUACGGCAUCACCAACAGAUCGGCUUCUGAUCGACUUCAGCUGGGUGGUGAGUCUGCAGAGACGGGGGCGCUGCGGCAUUGGGGUCACCACGAGGUGUCUGUUUAGAACAUGAAAUGAAAUGUUUUAAAUAAAAUAUUCGAAACCUUAUUCAUUGUGCUGGAGAAUGAAUCAGUGAAACCUAUACCUUCUCUCAUUUCUUUCAAGCGGCGAUAUUAAACGAAGUGCUUCCAGCGGAUGUGUGAAAUCUGUGGCCAGCUUUCUCCAUCAGGCUCUCGGCAGUUCUUCUUCAAGUCGUCACAACCAUAUAUAGUUAUGCGCUGGAGGGAGGAUGGCAGAACUGGUAAAGAUGUUAUGUUGGGGCAAAUGCCGAUAUCAAGACUCUCCAGACUGGAGAGAAAUUUUAGAUUUCCUGGCAGGGACUCCAUUUUGCAAUCCCAAAUGUCCAGGUGCUUGACAGAUAAGAGAUUUGCACAUUCUCCAAAUGAAGCUGACGGCUCCUUGCAAUCAUGAAGAGCAAGAUUUGGUGGGACUAUAAACCCUUCAGCCUUGAGCAUCUGGUUGAGCAGUACGAAACUACUAACGCUGAGCCAUUUCUGGACACGAAACUGUGAGAUGCACUUGGCAGUGAGGUUUGGAACAUCUAUCAAACUUAGGCCAUCAAGUUGCCAGGAAGACAAGCCUUCAAGAGAGCACAGAUCGGGGAGACGAAGUAGAGAUAAUGAUUCAAGGGAGGUCAGGUGGCCAAUCGAUAAGGACGGGAAGCUUCUGCAACAUGCAAUGGAAAGAGAUUUCAGGUGUGGCAAGCCAUUAAUGAACGAAUCGGCUGCCAGAAUGCAGCCACAUAUGUAGAGGUCUCCAGCAAGGUUGAAUGACAUAGAUUCUACUGCACCUGCCAGAUCUAAAGAAGGGCAAUCAAUACAAUAAAGUCUGGAAAGAGAUGGAGCAGCAUGUGAGCCCCCCAGUGAUCUGAGACACCAACAACCUCUUACAUCCAACAAGUCAAGCUUUGUCAAAUGCUCAAACACCUCUUCUGACGGAAGUGCACUUAAUGCCAUAUUAUAUUCCAGUCUUAACGUUGUCAAUGAAGUGAGGCCACCAAGGCAAAUAGCUAAAGCUUCAUCUGUAAUACUGCAUGAAGAAAGAACAAUACUAACAAGUCCAAAUGGUAGAACCAGUGGCAGCUCCAUGGUCCUUCCAUAAAUGACUCUUAUCCUCUGCUCAUGGCAAAAAAGCCAUGCCUUGAUCAUAUUUUCUUUCUCCAAUAUUAUAUCUCCUCCUUCCUUUAGGCCACUUUCAAUAAUUUGAAGAUGUUGUGAUAUAUCAUCACCCAUCUGUGUUGUCAACUGCUUCAGUGAUGAAUAGUCCUCUAAAAGUACUCUCCUAAUAUCUGAUCCCGAAUUGACCUCCCACAUCGAUGCAAGUUUAGAUGCCAGGUCCUCCGUGUUCAUUAUAUUUUCCCUCAAAUCAUGCUGAUCGAGCUCAUUUUUGGAGACAAACAUAAGCAGUGGGCACGUCUGAAUUGACAAUUUUGUAAGCAUUGCUGGAAGACAAGGUAAUAUCUUCAAUUUUGGAACAUUUUUUAGACACAGCCUAGUGCAAUGCCGUAGGAGCUCAGUAUUAGGUGGUAGGCCUUCUAACAAAGUGCAGCCAUUAAGCUUAAAACAUUCCAAAUUUUCAAAAUAGGAUGGCUCAAGUAACCACCUUGGAUAUGUGCCAGAUUUGUAGCCUUUGAUUGUGAGGCCACUAAGUUGGGGUGACGGUCUCAGACCUUCUAGAACAUCGAGAUGUAAAGUAUCCGCUGCAUCCAUUCCCUUCUCGCUACUCCAGGCAAGCCGCAACUUUUUAAGGCGAUUCUUCUUAUAUAGCAUGGACUCUAAGGCUUCUUCCUUUUCUGAAACAUUCUCAAGAUUUUCUACUUUUAAACUGCCACCAAGCUCAUUCAAGUCCUUCAGCUGCCACAACUCGCACCCUUGCUUUUUUUGCACAGAAAAGGUAUGCAUGUGUUGUAGCGAAGUUAGCUUGCCUAUAUUGGGAAUUUGAUGAAUAGAUUUUCCAGACAAGGUAGGUACGCAAUCGAUGUAUGCCCCCAAAUGUCGUAACUUACUUAAAUUGCAAAGCUUGUCAGGUAACCUCUCCACCAUUGUGUUUAACUGAAGUAACUGUAAGUGGUAAAGAGUACAUAAUGAUCUAGGCAAUUCAGACACUGAUGUUCUGAUGAGGUUCAAAUACCGAAGGUGCUUUAGCUCACCAACAGAUUCAGGCAACUUACUACUGUUGUAAAAUGACAAAUACAAUACACGUAACUUCUUCUGGUUCCGCAGCAUCUGAUCAAAAAUAUCGCUUGCAUCAUCCAUUAGUGGAUCAAUGCAGAUGAUAGUGCGUAAAUUCUGUAGCUUGUAGAUAAUUU